GACGAACGCUGGCGGCGUGCUUAACACAUGCAAGUCGAACGGUAAGGCCCUUCGGGGUACACGAGUGGCGAACGGGUGAGUAACACGUGGGUGAUCUGCCCUGCACUUCGGGAUAAGCCUGGGAAACUGGGUCUAAUACCGGAUAGGACUCCGGACUGCAUGGUCUGGGGUGGAAAGCUUUUGCGGUGUGGGAUGGGCCUGCGGCCUAUCAGCUUGUUGGUGGGGUGAUGGCCUACCAAGGCGCCGAAGGGUAGCCGGCCUGAGAGGGUGACCGGCCACACUGGGACUGAGAUACGGCCCAGACUCCUACGGGAGGCAGCAGUGGGGAAUAUUGCACAAUGGGCGCAAGCCUGAUGCAGCGACGCCGCGUGAGGGAUGACGGCCUUCGGGUUGUAAACCUCUUUCAGCAUCGACGAAGCGAAAGUGACGGUAGGUGCAGAAGAAGGACCGGCCAACUACGUGCCAGCCGCCGCGGUAA
RNAcentral lists this ribosomal RNA (478 nucleotides) under uncultured bacterium. Its description in RNAcentral is "partial 16S ribosomal RNA". It matches the Rfam family "Bacterial small subunit ribosomal RNA", at positions 28 to 523 of the family's 1533-position model. The record is from RNAcentral.